RNAcentral lists this long non-coding RNA (2437 nucleotides) under Homo sapiens (human). RNAcentral's name for it is "HSALNT0091157". The record is from RNAcentral. Lineage: Eukaryota; Metazoa; Chordata; Mammalia; Primates; Hominidae.
GAGCUCAUUCUAAGGAUUAUGGAGAUAAACCAUGGAAAGGGAUUUCAUUGUAAUACCCACGAUUGAGAUGGUUGGAGAUAAAGCCAUUAUCCAGUGAUAGUUCAUCAUGUUGAAGGAAUCCUGCUCAAUCAGAAGAACAGAUGGCCAUCUUCUGUCAGUACUUGAAGACUGUUUCUAAGAAACAUUAAGCCUCCAUCAGGCUCACUUGUUAAUGCAAAAGUCCCACUCAGGACAGAAGCUGGGACAAUCUUUGAAGUUGUCAGGUAUUGAGUUUGAGCAAAUGGAAUGGAAUGUGCUGGAACUGGUCCUUGCAGCAUCCUCCUGACACCUUGGGUCUAUUUGCAUAGUGCAGGUGGCUGAGAUGUCACUAGGCUCUUGAGAGACUUCAGGAACAAGUUGAGGGUUCUGCCUGUCAUCUGAGUUUAUGUACCAUGUACAAGACAACCUCACACUGUUUCUAACAUGAAAUGUUAAAAAUUGUUAUAUCUUUUUCAAAAGGGAGAACCCUUUCUGAUUAGUAAGAAGAAUCGGCCAGGCGCAGUGGCUCACACCUGUAAUCCCAGCACUUUGGGAGGCCGAGGUGGGUGGAUCACUUGAGGUCAGGAGUCCAAGACCAGCCUGGCUAACAUGAUGAAACCCCGUCUCUACUAAAAAUACAAAAAUUAACCGGGAGUGGUGGCAGGUGCCUGUAAUCCCAGCCACUAGGGAAGAUGAGGCACACGAAUCUCUUGAAUCCCGGAGUUGGAGAUUGUAGUGAGCCAAGAUCGCGCCACUGCAGUCCAGCCUGGGUCACAGAGUGAGACUCUCUCAAAAAAUAAAAAUAAAUUUAAAAAAAUAAAAAGAAUCUUAAUUUUUAAAGUUAGUUGAAAAUGUGAAUCCUUUUUAGGUUAAAAUGGGCCUUGCUCUUUUGUUUACUCAGGGCAAAGUGGAAAGGAGGAGACAAUCACUGGUAGGUCUCUGGUAUGCGUGUUCUAGAGUGGGUACAAAUGACCAUUUGAUGAGUUGUUUCUAGGAACUUUAUACAUACCAUGAGAACUGAUGAAAAAUCUCAUUAAUUCCUUAGGAACAUUACCUCCCUUAAUGAAAGGAAAACAGCCUAUUGGCUCUCUAAUAGUAAUCAAGUGAAGUGUGGAUAAUUCUAGACUUUUAUUUUUAAUCACCACUUAUAGGAAGCUGUACUUUUUACCACUAGGGUGUAACCAGAAACUAUUACAAGCAAUUUAAUUGCAAUGUGGAUCCCCCUUUUCUGUAAAGAUUUCAUUCUAACUUGGGAUUACCUUCUUGAUCAAGGAGGCUUUAUCAGAUAAUCCUGACAUCUCAGUUACAGAGCAAGCAAAACUUUGCCUCCAUGCUCUUAGGUCCUCUGGUUGGGCCUGAGAAUUAAAUUGGCAUAAAAUAUAUUAACAGGAGAAAAAUACACAGACUUUUUACAUGUACAUGGGAGCUGCCAUAGGAAAAUAAAGACCCUAAGAAGUGGUAAAAACCCAAAUGCUUAUAUAGCAGAUUGAAUAAAGAGUGACAAUUGUGGAAAAGUAACUAAAAUGUGUGGGGAGGCUCAAGGAAGAUAAGAGUUAUUUUAACAAGGUCUGUUUGUACAGGUUUUUUUUUAGUCUCAACUCCUCAUCUCCGGUGACAAGAAUGUUUCUUCUCUUCUGGUACAGGGAGCGCAUCUUUCACAUGGGAGUUUUUGUCUCCUGUUUGCAGGAAGAAAAGAGGAGAUUGGAAUGCCCUUCUUGCAUUUGCUGUUUUUCAAGGGCCUUUAGCUCAAAAUAAUCUUUACACCAAACUAGCAUAUUUUGGGGUGACAUAUUCUGCCACCCUUCACAGUCUGUGAUGGUUAAUUUUAUGUGUCAGCUUCUCUAGGGUAAGGGAAGUCCAUAUAACUGGUAAAACAUUAUUUCUGGGUGUGUCUUUGAGGAUGUUGCUGGAAAAGAUUAGCAUUUGAGUCAGUGGACUAAGUAAGAAAAUCACUAACAUGGGCAGGCAUCGUCCUAUCCAUUGAGGGUCAGAAUAGAACAAAAAGGCAGAGAAAGAAUGAAUUCUCUUUUUUUGAGCUGGGGCAUCUAUCUUCUCCUGACUUCAGGUAUCAGAGUUUCUGGUUCUCAGGUCUUUGGACUUGGCCUGAAUUUCACUGCCUGCUUUCCUGUUUCUCCAGUUUGCAGAAGGCAGAUCAUGAGACUGCUAACCCUCUAUUAGCACAUUAGUCCAUUCCCAUAAUUGAUGGGGGGUGUGUGUGUGUGUGUGUGUGUGUGUGUGUGUGUGUGUGUGUUGGGAGCUAUCUCCUCUUUUGUUUUUUUUUUUCUCUGAAGAACACUAACAUACAGCUUCUUAUACAAAUAAACUGAUGUUUAAAAACUUCUAUGUUCAUUUAAAUGAUUUUAAAUUAUGUAUUAAACCUCUAUGUUCAAUAAAUAAACUACCACGCUUAAAUUUUUAC